UACAGAGGGGGCAAGCGUUGUUCGGAGUUACUGGGCGUAAAGGGUGUGUAGGCGGUUGUUUAAGUUUGGUGUGAAAUCUCCCGGCUCAACUGGGAGGGUGCGCCGAAUACUGAAUGACUAGAGUGUGGGAGAGGUGAGUGGAAUUCCUGGUGUAGCGGUGAAAUGCGUAGAUAUCAGGAGGAACACCGGUGGUGUAGACGGCUCACUGGACCAUAACUGACGCUGAGACACGAAAGCGUGGGUAGCAAACAGG
Molecule: ribosomal RNA, 253 nt
Filed under: uncultured bacterium
Lineage: Bacteria
Description: partial 16S ribosomal RNA
Rfam family: Bacterial small subunit ribosomal RNA
Source: RNAcentral